CCAUCAGGUGGCCGCAGAGAAUAGGCCCAAGCGACUGUUUACCAAAAACAUAGGUUUCUGCGAAGUCGCAAGACGAUGUAUAGGAGCUGACGCCUGCCCGGUGCUGGAGGGUUAAGGGGAUCUGUUAGCGCAAUCGAAGCAGUGCACUUAAGCCCCAGUAAACGGCGGCCGUCACUAUAACGUUCCUAAGGUAGCGAAAUUCCUUGUCGGGUAAGUUCCGACCCGCACGAAAGGCG
RNAcentral lists this ribosomal RNA (236 nucleotides) under Clostridioides difficile. Its description in RNAcentral is "partial 23S ribosomal RNA". It matches the Rfam family "Bacterial large subunit ribosomal RNA", at positions 1766 to 2001 of the family's 2925-position model. Lineage: Bacteria; Bacillati; Bacillota; Clostridia; Peptostreptococcales; Peptostreptococcaceae. The record is from RNAcentral.